UUCUCGAUUUUGACAAAAUUUUGGAUUUCGUUCAAAUUACACCUAAUCGACCCCAAAUUUCAUGGAGAUCACGAAUAUUUGGUUUAUUUUGUCAGCAGCUCAACGGUUAAGGUGCUAUCGCUUACUUCCGGUCUACUUCCGGAAAAUUUGCAUAAAACUAGCAAGUGAGCUUUGUUCUCAAUACUGCUCUCAAGAUUGAUUGCUAGGUUUUGGCGAACAAAAAUGCGCUUUUCAAGUUAUGUGAGUAUGUUAAGACCAGCCCUUCAAAUACUGAGUUUUUAGACGUGUCUAAUAGAUGGCGUGUCGAUUAUUGUGUCAGUUAUGGGCUUAUGGCGUUUUGCUGUCAGAAGUUAAGUUAUCUUUUCUUCGAAAAUUACCAAUGAAUUCAUAGUCUGAAUCUGUCGUGCAGCCGGCCGUCAACUAUUUUGUUCAAACUUAUUGUAUUCUACUGAAUGUGCCAUCGAAAUGAUACAGGAUUCAUCAUAAUUAUCGGCUGUUUCUAUUGGACUUGCUAGAUCACCA
Daphnia pulex (common water flea) is the source of this 522-nucleotide long non-coding RNA. RefSeq lists it as uncharacterized. The transcript has 3 exons. NCBI's taxonomy places the organism in Eukaryota, Metazoa, Arthropoda, Branchiopoda, Diplostraca, Daphniidae. The record is from RefSeq and is a predicted model, not a curated record.